Molecule: ribosomal RNA, 516 nt
Filed under: Monographella sp. HGGJ-16
Lineage: Eukaryota; Fungi; Ascomycota; Sordariomycetes; Amphisphaeriales; Hyponectriaceae
Description: eukaryotic LSU rRNA
Rfam family: 5.8S ribosomal RNA (bases 159-312)
Source: RNAcentral
GUGGUUCCACGAGCUUUACUCCAACCCAUGUGAACUUACCUUCUGUUGCCUCGGGGCUGCCGGCUGUUUCUCUCCAGGGAGUUGCGGCUAUAGGCCCCGGUGGACCACUAAACUCUUGUUUUUAUAAGUCAUUCUGAAUUAUAAACUUAAUAAGUUAAAACUUUCAACAACGGAUCUCUUGGUUCUGGCAUCGAUGAAGAACGCAGCGAAAUGCGAUAAGUAAUGUGAAUUGCAGAAUUCAGUGAAUCAUCGAAUCUUUGAACGCACAUUGCGCCCAUUAGUAUUCUAGUGGGCAUGCCUGUUCGAGCGUCAUUUCAACCCUUAAGCUUAGCUUAGUGUUGGGAAUCUACCUAGCGGUAGUUCCUCAAAGACAUUGGCAGAGUCUAGGUUUUCUCUGAGCGUAGUAAUUUAUUCCUCGCUUCUGUAGUUGCCUAGACUAUCGCCACAAACCGAUUAAUUUUUUAAUGGUUGACCUCGGAUCAGGUAGGAAUACCCGCUGAACUUAAGCAUAUCAAA